RNAcentral lists this ribosomal RNA (465 nucleotides) under Vreelandella stevensii. Its description in RNAcentral is "partial 16S ribosomal RNA". It matches the Rfam family "Bacterial small subunit ribosomal RNA", at positions 338 to 795 of the family's 1533-position model. The record is from RNAcentral. Lineage: Bacteria; Pseudomonadati; Pseudomonadota; Gammaproteobacteria; Oceanospirillales; Halomonadaceae.
CCUACGGGGGGCAGCAGUGGGGAAUAUUGGACAAUGGGGGGAACCCUGAUCCAGCCAUGCCGCGUGUGUGAAGAAGGCCCUCGGGUUGUAAAGCACUUUCAGUGAGGAAGAACGCCUGGUGGUUAAUACCCAUCAGGAAAGACAUCACUCACAGAAGAAGCACCGGCUAACUCCGUGCCAGCAGCCGCGGUAAUACGGAGGGUGCGAGCGUUAAUCGGAAUUACUGGGCGUAAAGCGCGCGUAGGUGGCUUGAUAAGCCGGUUGUGAAAGCCCCGGGCUCAACCUGGGAACGGCAUCCGGAACUGUCAAGCUAGAGUGCAGGAGAGGAAGGUAGAAUUCCCGGUGUAGCGGUGAAAUACGUAGAGAUCGGGAGGAAUACCAGUGGCGAAGGCGGCCUUCUGGACUGACACUGACACUGAGGUGCGAAAGCGUGGGUAGCAAACAGGAUUAGAUACCCGGGUAGUC